RNAcentral lists this unclassified non-coding RNA (336 nucleotides) under soil metagenome. Its description in RNAcentral is "partial contains 5.8S ribosomal RNA, internal transcribed spacer 2, and large subunit ribosomal RNA". The stretch from base 1 to 120 matches the Rfam family "5.8S ribosomal RNA", at positions 35 to 154 of the family's 154-position model. The record is from RNAcentral.
GAUGAAGAACGCAGCGAAAUGCGAUAAGUAAUGUGAAUUGCAGAAUUCAGUGAAUCAUCGAAUCUUUGAACGCACAUUGCGCCCGCCAGUAUUCUGGCGGGCAUGUCUGUUCGAGCGUCAUUUCAACCAUCAAGCCCCCGGCUUGUGUUGGGGACCUGCGGCUGCCGCAGGCCCUGAAAACCAGUGGCGGGCUCGCUGUCACACCGAGCGUAGUAGAUUUUCAUCUCGCUCAGGGCGUGCUGCGGGUUCCGGCCGUAAAAAGCCUUAUUUACCCAAGGUUGACCUCGGAUCAGGUAGGAAGACCCGCUGAACUUAAGCAUAUCAAUAAGCGGAGGA